This is a long non-coding RNA of Pseudophryne corroboree (corroboree frog), 3057 nucleotides long. RefSeq lists it as uncharacterized. The transcript is spliced from 4 exons. The record is from RefSeq and is a predicted model, not a curated record. Lineage: Eukaryota; Metazoa; Chordata; Amphibia; Anura; Myobatrachidae.
AUCCUUAUAGGGCAGCUGAAAGGCACAACUCUGAGAGAGGUGACUUCAUGGCCAGAAGAAAAAAGAGAAACUGUAGGCCUCAUCUUGAAUAGACUAGCUACCACAUUUGAUACAAGAGCAUUAUCGGAACUUAAGGUGGCCUUUUACACGAGAAAGCAGCAGCCAAGAGAAACGCUGUGUGACUUUGCACUCAGUCUACAGGAGGCACUUCGAGCACUACAGGCAAUCGAUCCAACAGAAAUUCGUCCAACAGAUGAAAUAUUGAUUAAUCAAUUUAUAGAGGGAUCCCAUGGUGAGAUAGUGAAGUCACAUUUACGCCUCUUUCAGCUACAGUUAUCAAAGAGCUCAUUUUUGUGCUUCAAAUAAGCUGCCAUUAAAGUGGUAGGGACAUUACAGAGACAAGAAAUGUCCUGUCCAGAGAUGUUGGUGAACCAAGAAGAGAAAUAUCCUCUAAAGGUCAGAAAGCAGGAAUUUAUGGAUCCGCACACACCUAAAGAAGUUGUUGUGCAGGAUGAUCAGGUGCCAAAGACCGAUCUAUUAAGUACUAUAGGAGUGCAAGUCUCUGAACUGACCCAUGGGGUAACUGAAAUGUUACAGCAAUUACAGUAUUUCAUGCAGCAACAAGUAAAGUGCACACGAGGGACAGAUUGGAGCAUCAUUGAAGGACAGCCUAGAGAUGUGAACCUUCAUUCUGUAGUCCAAAAUCAAAGUGAAGUGAUAGCCACACCAGCUACAGACCCAGAGCCUGAAGUCAGUGCAAGGAAAGUUAUGGGGAAAGUCAUUUGGUUUAAUGUGCGUUAUGGCUAUGGUUUCAUAAAUCGGCAUGACACUAAGAAAGAUGUGUUUGUACAUUGUACAGCCAUAAAGAAGAACAACCCCAGGAAGUAUUUCUGAAGCCUGGAUAGUGGAGAAACAGUUGAGUUUGAUGUUGUGAAUAGAGAACAAGGUCCGCAGGCAGCUAAUGUAACUGGUCCUGGUGGUGUUCCUGUGCAAGGCAGCAGAUAUGCAGCAGGUCCAAAGCAUUAUUGGCACUAUCCACGUCACAGAGGUUCUCCACAUAAUUACCAGCAGCCCUACCAAUAUGAUGAAGAUAUAGAGAAGGCUGAGGAAGCGGAAAGUGGGACGGAGAGUAUAUAUUGACAACAGCCUUAUAGGGGAAAUCACAACUCACCAUCUUAUCCAAGGAGAUCAUAUGGAUGCACACAGCAAUAUCCUGUUGUCCCAGAGCAUAGUGAUUUAUUGGGACGAAUAGAUGAGAAAAUCUUGGAGGGACAAAGUUACACAGUGCAGCAGAGCCAGCAGAAUAUAGUCGGACUACAAGUUCCUCCACAGUCAGCAUGUGAGGGUAAGGCCAGAGUGGAGGAUAAUGGGUCUAAUACAACCUACCUUGAUCAGGCAGAUUCAGCUGAACAGGAAAUGGACACAGAGAAAGUUAUCUCCACGGCUGCAGCAGAAGGCUUGGGGGUUCUCCCUAUACCCAAUAUAACGGAUUUAGUUAUGUCAACGUCUGAACCUCAAGUUACAGCAAAAUCCUCUAAUGUAGCUAAGGAGCCUGUUACUUGGCUUUUCCCAGAGUGGCAUCGCCCAGACUGCGAAUACACCACAAUAAGUGGUAAGGAGUUUGUCUCAAUUAUGCAAAAGUUAUCGAGACUCUCAGGAAAGAGUCACAAAGGGAUUUCUACCCAUUAAAUACUGACAAUAGGGUAACAAAAAGUGACUGUCUUGCAGGAAACUUUGUAGGAAGUGACUAGGUAACAUAUGUAUCAAUCUGGCAUGUUACUUGUAGGUAGUUCAUUAGAAAAAUGCACCAAACGGAAGUGUUUAAUACCACUGUUACAAUAUAGCAAGAUACUAAUGUUUUCUAAACUUACCUGUUAAUUGUAACUAAUUGUGAUCUACUUUACAUAAUGGAAGAAGUACUGUAUGUGUAACAAUACUGUUGUUUUAAAGUUAGUGGGUGAGAUUCAAAUGAUAUAUCACGCCCAAUUUCCUUUCUAAAAUGAUCUCCGUUAUCAUGCAUAUUGCGCCCAUAGUAAUCAGGUUUAGCUGUGCAAAGGGUUGGGUGACUCGCUACUCCGGGGGUAGCGAGCUGAAAUAAUGAUACAACGUCCCUGAGGGCAGAAACAGAACGAGUGUGGAAAGGGGUGAAAAGAAUUGAAUCCCGCCCAGUAUGUUCAAGGAAUAACUAGAGGUUUAAAAUGCGUAAGGACACGCAUAAUUCAAGAGGGAUUGUAUGUGACACCCCAUUGGAGCUGUCACAAACUGUGGUGUGACUUUUGUGCCCCUUACCCUGCUGAGUGUAGCACUGUUUGGAUAUUAUUAUGAAACAGAUGGCAGUGAAAGUUAACUGUGCCCUGAGUGCUGCAACUGUCACUAGGACACUGACCAGUCAGCAAGAGGCGUAUGGUUCCAAGGGAGAGAUCCGGCUUAUGCUGUGGCAGUUACAGCUGGGUGCUGGGACAGUUGGCAGUUGAAUGGCAGCCAUCUUAGCAAGUGGUACUGACAGGAGGAGCUGAGAGAAAAUGUUGGCGCUGCUGCUGUGAUUCCUAGCUAGGGAGGCAGGACAGAGACGCGGCUCUUGGAGGUGAAAGAACCUGCAGAUAUUCCAGGAUGGUGAGCCCCCAGAGGUGACAGAGGAGACAGAGAUGUACCGCCUUCCCAAAAAGGCUUGUGCAACUACUAAGCAGUGAGAAAUCCUGACAGGAUCAUCAGGAGAGUACUAACCACGAAGGUCCACAUUCACCCAGUGGAGGUCAUAUAUUGCCCAUCUUCUUGUAUAGAAGUCACAUCACUUGACUAAAUUAUUGUAUUGGUCACACCAUCACCUUAAAGAAUAAGGUUGUUUCACGUGCGAAUAUUGGGAAUAGACCCACUAUUUUGAUCAUCUUUCUGUUUAGAAUUUGUCUGUUGAUUUCCCCUGAUGAAGUCCUAACAAGGAGAAAACGCAUCGGGAUCAGAACUCUUUUUCAAGGACAAACAAGCAUCAUUAAUAAUAUCGUAGAGGUUUCACUUGUCCAAUACAUGACUGUUUUUAAUAAAUAUUUGUACAUUUUUAAA